Monomorium pharaonis (pharaoh ant) is the source of this 1096-nucleotide long non-coding RNA. RefSeq lists it as uncharacterized. The record is from RefSeq and is a predicted model, not a curated record. Lineage: Eukaryota; Metazoa; Arthropoda; Insecta; Hymenoptera; Formicidae. The transcript has 3 exons.
AAAAAAUUGAUAUCUCGAUUAUUUGUAAACCUAACCCAAGAAAAUAUUGGACCUGUAUGUUCAUCUCGAUCCCUUCUACCUUUUUACGAGUGGUGGUCCACAUGCGUUGGGACACCCUGUAUAUGUAGAUGGGUCAGUACAGAUGAGUGCAUUUGUUGAAACAUUAAAAAAAUUUUACACAGUCCUAGCAAUACAACAAAUACUUUUAGACUCAAUUUUUGUCGGAUGCAAGAGGAAAAUAUAGAUUUCAAUUUGCCAAUCUGGAAUAUUAACCGGUUACAGGAAUUUAAUAAAAAACUCAGUGAAUGUUCUACUCGAUUGCAAUAUCGACUCUUGUUGCUAAUAGAAAUAUUUCUAUCGCCGAUGUCCAGAAAGUUAAAUCAUCAAAUUAUGGUUGUAACACGCAAGCAAUGGUAUUGAUCAACGAAGAAAAGAAGAAAAUAAGCCACUGUUAUGUAGGAUAUAAUUAAGAAAAAAACUUAAUGUCGAAAACUCAAGUCAAUUAUCUAAAUUUCAGCUAGAAUGUUCCUUUUGUGUUAUUGGUUAUAUGAUAUUGCGCAUUUUUAUGCUCUGGUGAAAAUGUAAAAUCGGAGCGUAAGUCGAAUGUAAAUUAAGGGAGAGUAAUAGAAGCGUUAACAAACCUUCUAUUACUCUCCCUUUACAUUCGACUUACGCUCCGGUUUUACAUUUUCACCAGGGUGAUUUGCGACAACAUAUAUGCAUCUCGUUUGUUUCGGUAAAGAUUAGGAAUAAGUACUUAGCGUAAUAAAGUAAUAAAAAAAUAAAUAAAAAGAGAAAUUUGACAAUGCCAUAAAUUAAAAAAAAUUAAUUAAUAUAUUAUAAUAUAUAUUUUUAAAUUUUUUGAUACGUAUGUCCGUAUUUAUACGUUACACAUUUUCUUAAUUUGCUGUAUGUAUAAGCGGUAAAAAGCAAUAUGAAUUUCCGUACGGAAUACAGACAGCUUUUGUACAAACGUCAUCAAAAUUAAAAGUUUGUACAUUUGACCACUUAUUUCCUACAACAAUGUUAAAAUGUAAUGAACUUAUAGGAUAAUGUUCAAGUUCAACUGCAUUUAAUAAAGUUUUUCCUUUUAAAA